Molecule: transfer RNA, 65 nt
Filed under: Dipodomys ordii (Ord's kangaroo rat)
Lineage: Eukaryota; Metazoa; Chordata; Mammalia; Rodentia; Heteromyidae
Rfam family: tRNA
About the family: Transfer RNA (tRNA) molecules are approximately 80 nucleotides in length. Their secondary structure includes four short double-helical elements and three loops (D, anti-codon, and T loops).
Source: Rfam by way of RNAcentral
GGUGGCUUAGUGGUAGAGUACUUGCCUUGCAUGCAUGAGGCCCUGGGUUCGAUUCCUUAGCACCA